RNAcentral lists this transfer RNA (74 nucleotides) under Serpula lacrymans var. lacrymans S7.3. It matches the Rfam family "tRNA". From Rfam's summary of the family: Transfer RNA (tRNA) molecules are approximately 80 nucleotides in length. Their secondary structure includes four short double-helical elements and three loops (D, anti-codon, and T loops). The record is from Rfam by way of RNAcentral. Lineage: Eukaryota; Fungi; Basidiomycota; Agaricomycetes; Boletales; Serpulaceae.
GAGCUAGUAGCUCAGUUGGUUAGAGCACCACCAUAUAUAGGCAGAGGUCCCGGGUUCAAUCCCCGGCUGAUCCA